CUGUUCUUUUGAGGGGACUGUUGUCUGGUUCAAGGCCAUCAAUUAAUUGUAACUUUGAUUCAUGUGUGUGUGUCUGUGUGUAUAUACAUAUAUGUUCUCGGACCAGGCUUCAUUCCCCUUAAUUACUG
RNAcentral lists this microRNA precursor (128 nucleotides) under Citrus sinensis (sweet orange). RNAcentral describes it as "miR166d stem-loop (csi-MIR166d)". Its record names the gene csi-MIR166d. It matches the Rfam family "mir-166 microRNA precursor family". From Rfam's summary of the family: This family represents the plant microRNA (miRNA) precursor mir-166. The record is from miRBase by way of RNAcentral. Lineage: Eukaryota; Viridiplantae; Streptophyta; Magnoliopsida; Sapindales; Rutaceae.